UAUAGACAACCUUCCGAAAAAAAUAUGAUCAUAAAACCAAGAAGACUGGAACAUAUAUAAAGUAAAUGUAGUUACAAACACGCGGACUUUUACUAGCGGCACUUCGAACCGAGAAUAGCUGAGAGUUUCUUAACGCGCAGAAGGCUUACCACGCACUUCUUAUAAUGAGUGAUAUUAGUGAAUAUAAAAAAUCAAAAGAGUAUCGUGACGAAAUGCUAAUAAAAACAGUGAAAACGAUUCCAUCUCUAUGGAGUUCGCAGAUACCGUUAAGCAAAUAAACGAAAGCCAAAAAGAAAAUGCGAUGGAGACAAGUGGAAGAAAAUUUGUAUAAAUAUUUAAAACAUAUUACACGAAGCAAAGUUGCAAAGUGAUUAAUGACUGCGGAUGAAGCUAUGAAAAAGUGGAAAUAGGGACUGCUUCAAGUACUAAAAAGAAAAAAAAGUUCUAAAAAGUAUAUUUCUCUCUCCAACCUUCUCCGAACACUAUUUCUAAAGCCUUGUGUUCACGAUGAUAGAAUUCGGUCCGAAUUCUCGAACUGAGAAAUUUGUAGCCAAUCAAUUUGCAGCUUUUACGGAUAAGCGGCAAUUUUAUUGGCUAUACGUCUCUCCGAGAUCUCGGAUCAAGUUCUAGCAUUGUGGACACAAAGCUUAAUACAGAAACUUUGAAUAAGUCGGUCAUUUUUACAUUUAAUCUUUGUUUUUGUCGAUUCAAUAAUUUUACUUUAGUUAAAGCAGCUGUUAAUUUAUUUUUCAUAAAAUCCUUUUGCUCUCGUAACAAAUGCUGAAACAUAUCUGCCUGAUUUUGUAAUUGCUUUAUAUGGUUAUCUCUUAGUGAUUGCACAAGAGCUGUCAAACGUUCAUUUUCUGCUUUGAGAGUUUUAAUUUGUGAUUCUGAAUCAUCUGCCUCAUUUGUAGGAGCACAUUUAUUUAUAUGCAUAAUCUCUACACAAACAAAUAAUAUUGUAGGAUUUUGUAAACCAAAAUUGUAGGCAUGCGUACAGAGUACAUACCUUCUGCGGGGUCAGGUGCAACGUGUGCAUUGUCCAGGAGGCAAUUGUACAUAUCUAUAAGGUCUAUGGUAUAUGUUUCUCUAAUAUCAAUAUAUUCAUUAAUUCGUUCACUUCGCUAUUGUCGUGUUAUUUUGCUGUUGUUGUUUACUGCUGUUGUCGUUCAUUGCUGUUGUCAUUUACUGCUGUCGCUUCUUGUCGUUUUAUUUAAUAUAAAAACAUGAUUUGCCGGGGGAUUUCAUGCUUCGCAUAUGUAUUCGAAAUCCAUGCAAGAUGCGUCAUAAAAUAGAAAAUUGUAAUAAUGAAUUUUGUACUCAAAACAAAUCUUGUAAAAGAGUACAUCUCACCGAUUACGAACUUGAAGAAGUGAAUAAAAAUAUACGGCCUUUCCGGCAAUCCGUUACCAAAGAAAUGUAUCGAUUGGCAUAUAUUUUAAGAGAUUCUUAUCCACCAGAAUUGAGAAUACAUUGCUGUACAUUAAAUAUGUUGGGUCAAUGCAUAUGGACAUGUUUAGCUUGCAGUACAACUUCCAGUAAUAGUAAGUCUUUUAAUUAUUUAAAUAUAUUAAUAAAUUGUUAAGGGACUGCUAUGUAAGACAUAAAAAG
Formica exsecta is the source of this 1611-nucleotide long non-coding RNA. RefSeq lists it as uncharacterized. Lineage: Eukaryota; Metazoa; Arthropoda; Insecta; Hymenoptera; Formicidae. The record is from RefSeq and is a predicted model, not a curated record. The transcript is spliced from 2 exons.